Molecule: ribosomal RNA, 518 nt
Filed under: Tremella dysenterica
Lineage: Eukaryota; Fungi; Basidiomycota; Tremellomycetes; Tremellales; Tremellaceae
Description: eukaryotic LSU rRNA
Rfam family: 5.8S ribosomal RNA (bases 167-320)
Source: RNAcentral
UCUUGGUCANUUAGAGGAAGUAAAAGUCAUAACAAGGUUUCCGUAGGUGAACCUGCGGAAGGAUCAUUAGAGAUGCCGAAAGGCUUUCCACACACCUGUGCACUCGGCGGACCCGUCCGCCUCACACACACAGCCGUCACGAACGUAACCUAUUGUAAUCAGAAACAACUUUCAACAACGGAUCUCUUGGCUCUCGCAUCGAUGAAGAACGCAGCGAAAUGCGAUAAGUAAUGUGAAUUGCAGAAUUCAGUGAAUCAUCGAAUCUUUGAACGCACCUUGCGCCUUUUGGUACUCCGAAAGGCAUGCCUGUUUGAGUGUCAUGUAGACUCAACCCCUCAGGUUUAUGACCUGGGGAGCGUUGGACUUGGGCUCUGCCUUCACCGGCUGGCCUCAAAUGUGUUAGCGGGAUCNGCACAGACGUUGUAAGCACUCGUCGACCGUGGCCUGCUCAUAAUCCCCACUACUUUGCACUCUGACCUCAAAUCAGGUAGGGCUACCCGCUGAACUUAAGCAUAUCA